AUUGAACGCUGGCGGCAUGCCUAACACAUGCAAGUCGAACGGGGCGCUUCGGCGCCUAGUGGCGGACGGGUGAGUAAAGCGUAGGAAUCUGCCUUGCAGUGGGGACAACCUGGGGAAACUCAGGCUAAUACCGCAUACGCUCGCGAGAGGAAAGCGGGGGAUCUUCGGACCUCGCGCCGCAAGAAGAGCCUACGUCCGAUUAGCUAGUUGGUAGGGUAAAAGCCUACCAAGGCGACGAUCGGUAGCUGGUCUGAGAGGAUGAUCAGCCACACUGGGACUGAGACACGGCCCAGACUCCUACGGGAGGCAGCAGUGGGGAAUAUUGGACAAUGGGCGCAAGCCUGAUCCAGCAAUGCCGCGUGGGUGAAGAAGGCCUGCGGGUUGUAAAGCCCUUUAAGUGGGGAGGAACGGCGGGAUGCGAACAGUGUUCUGCUCUGACGUUACCCACAGAAUAAGCACCGGCUAACUCCGUGCCAGCAGCCGCGGUAAU
This 490-nucleotide ribosomal RNA is filed under the name uncultured bacterium. RNAcentral describes it as "bacterial SSU rRNA". It matches the Rfam family "Bacterial small subunit ribosomal RNA", at positions 29 to 524 of the family's 1533-position model. The record is from RNAcentral.